AUUUUAGUAGCUUAAAAUUUAAGAGCGUUAUAUUGAAGAUAUAAAGGAAAGACUUACUUCUAAAGUA
RNAcentral lists this transfer RNA (67 nucleotides) under Empoascanara falcata. Its description in RNAcentral is "tRNA-Phe". Lineage: Eukaryota; Metazoa; Arthropoda; Insecta; Hemiptera; Cicadellidae. The record is from RNAcentral. RNAcentral also lists the same sequence under 1 other name.